GAUGAACGCUGGCGGCGUGCCUAAUACAUGCAAGUCGAGCGAACAGAUGAGGAGCUUGCUCCUCUGACGUUAGCGGCGGACGGGUGAGUAACACGUGGAUAACCUACCUAUAAGACUGGGAUAACUUCGGGAAACCGGAGCUAAUACCGGAUAAUAUAUUGAACCGCAUGGUUCAAUAGUGAAAGACGGUUUUGCUGUCACUUAUAGAUGGAUCCGCGCCGCAUUAGCUAGUUGGUAAGGUAACGGCUUACCAAGGCAACGAUGCGUAGCCGACCUGAGAGGGGGAUCGGCCCCACUGGAACCUAGACACGGGCCCGACUCCCACGGGAGGCCGCAGGGGGGAAUCUUUCCCCAAGGGCGGAAGCCCGACGGAGCAACCCCCCGGGGGGGAAGAAGGUCUUUGGAUCCUAAAACCCUUUUAUUAGGGAAAAACAAAAUUGUAAGUAAAUUUGCCCGUCUUUACCGGAACUAAUCAGAAAACCACGGCUAACUUCGUU
This 497-nucleotide ribosomal RNA is filed under the name uncultured bacterium. RNAcentral describes it as "partial 16S ribosomal RNA". It matches the Rfam family "Bacterial small subunit ribosomal RNA", at positions 28 to 507 of the family's 1533-position model. The record is from RNAcentral.